ACAGCACAGAAGUCAGAGAAUGCCAGCUACAUUUUAACUGGGGUCAUUCUACUAAAUUCCUGAGGAUCCCAUGGCUCAGUCCACAGGGAGAAGUGCUCUGAAUACAUAGGACAACUCUGUGUGCUUGAAGUUUAAAUUCUGAGCCUCCUACUAAAAGACAGGGAAAUACAGCACACUCCCUCUCCUCUCCUCUUUAACUACUUAUUAACUGAAACGCAAAAGCUCUUCAUCGCGGAGAGUCAUCUUCUUAAAAUGAGACCUUAUUGAAGCUGGAAAAACAGAACAUGUUGGGAGCUUUGGUUUUUAUCAAAGAGACAGCGGAUGCUUCCAUCAGGAUCACUGAGAUCUAAAUCAUUUCUGAGGGAUUGAUACGCGUUUGUCCUUGCUGAUCAUAUUAAAGUAUCUGUGCAGAAAAUAGAAUUUUGAUUUUUCUUGGGGAAGUGUCUGCCAUCUUGAUGAAAGUUCUAGAAGCUCCUCUGGUAUGUCAAGAGAGAGAGAGGGAGAGCAAGAAAGGAAGAGGAAGAGAAAGAAAGAGAGAACAAGAACAUUCAUCCAUGGACCACUCUGCUAAUGCCCUCAAUGGCUUUGUCUGUGCAGAGGCCAGUCCUAUUUCCCACAUGGAUGGAGAAGGCCAAUUCCUUGGACCAUCACUGCUGUCCCCCAGGGUCUACAUUAGCAGGAACCUGGAGUCCUAUGUCAGAGUUGGCUGACAUUUUGUACAAGAAACCACCAAUGGAAUACACGACCCCUUCAAAGCUUACUCCUCUUCCUUCAGUAUCAGUUAUUAAUACCACUCCAAAACUGAACCUGGGAGUGACAUUUGUUUGGUGGAGAAGACAUCGCUUGGGACACUCAUAUUCCAUAUUAGAAUUCCUGGAUUCUGGGGCCAGAGCUUUGGCAUAGUGGGUAAAGCCACUGCCUGUGGGGCCAGCAACCCACGGAAACACUGGUUCCAGUCCCAGCUGCUCUACUUCCAAUCCAGCUCCCUUCUAAUGCGCCUGGGAAAGCAGUGGAAUAUGGCCCAACUCCUUGGACCCCUGCAUCCAUGAAGGAGACCUGGAAGAAGCUGCUGGCUCCUGCUUCGGAGUGGCCCAGCUCCAGCCAUUGUGGUCAUUUGAGGUAAUGAACCAGUAGAUGGAAGAUUUCUCUCUCUCCUCUCUCUCUCUCAU
Long non-coding RNA from Oryctolagus cuniculus (rabbit), 1169 nucleotides. RefSeq lists it as uncharacterized. The record is from RefSeq and is a predicted model, not a curated record. NCBI's taxonomy places the organism in Eukaryota, Metazoa, Chordata, Mammalia, Lagomorpha, Leporidae.